AACGAACGCUGGCGGCAUGCCUAACACAUGCAAGUCGAACGAGACCUUCGGGUCUAGUGGCGCACGGGUGCGUAACGCGUGGGAACCUGCCCUUAGGUUCGGAAUAACUCCCCGAAAGGGGUGCUAAUACCGGAUAAUGUCUUCGGACCAAAGAUUUAUCGCCUUUGGAUGGGCCCGCGUUGGAUUAGCUAGUUGGUAGGGUAAAAGCCUAUCAAGGGGACGAUCCUUAGCUGGUCUGAGAGGAUGAUCAGCCACACUGGGACUGAGACACGGCCCAGACUACUACGGGAUGCAGCAGUGGGUAAUAUUGCAAAAUCGGCGAAAUCCUGAUCCAGCAAUGCCGCUUGAGUGAUGAAGUCCUUAGAGUUGUAAAGCUCUUUUACCCGCGAUUAUAAUGACAGUACCGAAAGAAUAAGCACCGGCUAACUCCGUG
This 433-nucleotide ribosomal RNA is filed under the name uncultured bacterium. Its description in RNAcentral is "partial 16S ribosomal RNA". It matches the Rfam family "Bacterial small subunit ribosomal RNA", at positions 29 to 507 of the family's 1533-position model. The record is from RNAcentral.